UCAUCAUCGCCGAAAUGUUUGAAGAGUUUCGUUUCCAGUGUACAACACUUUUGCUGCGCGUGAAGUCGGUUUUUUCCCGCCUCACAUAUUUCGGGAGAUUGGCAGCGCCCGCUUCUUCUGCACCAAUUGCGGUGGAUUGUGGUCCAAAGAGCAAAAGCAUUGGACGGACCGAUUGAUUCGCCCGUUUCUCGGUUGUCGGACGGUACCGUUCGACGUACGUUGCGAAGGACUUCGACUAUUGAAGGAAGAUGGAGAAGAUGGACCAUCAGUGUCACUCUGUGACUGAAGAAGAUUAUUACGAAUGGCUACUGACGGGAGAUCUACCCCUGGUCCUAACCUUCAAGCCUCCUCCAAAGACCUUCUUUUUGCGAAUCGGCGAUCAACUGACUACCUGUCGUUGCGGUGGACUCUGGUCGAGAAACCCCAGCCAUUGGUUAGACUCGAGCCUUCGUCCGUAUUUGGGCUGCCUUCCCGGCUACGAAACCAA
Ornithodoros turicata is the source of this 487-nucleotide long non-coding RNA. RefSeq lists it as uncharacterized. The transcript is spliced from 3 exons. Lineage: Eukaryota; Metazoa; Arthropoda; Arachnida; Ixodida; Argasidae. The record is from RefSeq and is a predicted model, not a curated record.